Long non-coding RNA from Alosa sapidissima (American shad), 609 nucleotides. RefSeq lists it as uncharacterized. NCBI's taxonomy places the organism in Eukaryota, Metazoa, Chordata, Actinopteri, Clupeiformes, Clupeidae. The transcript has 3 exons. The record is from RefSeq and is a predicted model, not a curated record.
UUCACUGAAAAAAAGGUCUCUUUGGGGUUGUUGAAAUUGCAUGAAUUUAUUGAAAGAACCUCACAUGAUUUAUUAGUGGUCCUUCUGAAAUUAAAAAAAAUCAUGUGAGCCUAAGCUAUUCCUUGAGAAUGUCAAAUUCACAUAAUUUUGUCAUGUUGGAUGGUAAGAACUACGUGACGUGACCACGCCGGUAGCUCGUGCACCUGACCUGAGUCUAAGCGGGAAGGAGGAAUCAACUGCCAUUUUCCACACAAUUGCUCUGAAGACGUUACGAGCGGCAUGCAAGAUCUACAAUGUGAGAGCGUGUAGAAGAGGAUUUACCACCUGUAGAGCAAUCGGUCCCUCACAGUCCAGUUCCAAAUACACUUCAGAAGGAGCUUGCUGCAGCAUUACUGAAAUUGGAACAUUUGGUGCAUGUGCCAGUAAAUGUGGCAGUGCAAGGGAUGUGAAUCAGCGGUUCAAAGUAGGUCUGAUCUACUUGCUCAUUACAAACUCCACCAUCCCCACUUUGGCCGCACCACAAACUACCCCUGCACAUAUACAGAUUGUCCCUGUACUUUUAAAACAUGGAACGCUCUUAUUGUUCACCAGAGUAGAGUGCACGGCACA